This 380-nucleotide ribosomal RNA is filed under the name uncultured eukaryote. RNAcentral describes it as "partial 18S ribosomal RNA". It matches the Rfam family "Eukaryotic small subunit ribosomal RNA", at positions 593 to 976 of the family's 1831-position model. The record is from RNAcentral.
AAUAGCGUAUAUUAAAGUUGUUGCGGUAAAAAAGCUCGUAGUUGGAUUUCUACCGAAGAUAGCCGGUCGGGUCUUCGACCUUGUAUCUGGUUUUGUCUUUGGUAUCCUCAUAGGGAACGUUUCUGCGCUUUAUUGCGUGGUGCGGUAUCUAUGACUUUUACUUUGAGGAAAUUAGAGUGUUCACGGCAGGCAAACGCCUUGAAUAUAUUAGCAUGGAAUAAUAACAUAGGAUCUUCGUCCUAUUUUGUUGGUUUCUAGGGCUAAGAUAAUGAUUAAUAGGGAUAAUUGGGGGCAUCUGUAUCAACGCGUCAGAGGUGGAAUUCUUGGAUUGCGUUGCGACAAACUACUGCGAAAGCAUUUGCCAAGGAUGUUUUCAUUGA